CCAGACUCCUACGGGAGGCAGCAGUGGGGAAUAUUGGGCAAUGGGGGAAACCCUGACCCAGCGACGCCGCGUGAGGGAAGAAGGUUUUCGGAUUGUAAACCUCUGUCCUUGGUGACGAUAAUGACGGUAGCCAAGGAGGAAGCCACGGCUAACUACGUGCCAGCAGCCGCGGUAAUACGUAGGUGGCGAGCGUUGUCCGGAUUUACUGGGUGUAAAGGGCGUGCAGCCGGGCUGACAAGUCAGAUGUGAAAUCCCGCGGCUCAACCGCGGAACUGCAUUUGAAACUGUCAGUCUUGAGUACCGGAGAGGUCAUCGGAAUUCCUUGUGUAGCGGUGAAAUGCGUAGAUAUAAGGAAGAACACCAGUGGCGAAGGCGGAUGACUGGACGGCAACUGACGGUGAGGCGCGAAAGCGUGGGGAGCAAACAGGAUUAGAUACCCCAGUA
RNAcentral lists this ribosomal RNA (444 nucleotides) under uncultured bacterium. RNAcentral describes it as "bacterial SSU rRNA". It matches the Rfam family "Bacterial small subunit ribosomal RNA", at positions 331 to 792 of the family's 1533-position model. The record is from RNAcentral.